This is a long non-coding RNA of Rhinichthys klamathensis goyatoka, 1222 nucleotides long. RefSeq lists it as uncharacterized. NCBI's taxonomy places the organism in Eukaryota, Metazoa, Chordata, Actinopteri, Cypriniformes, Leuciscidae. The record is from RefSeq and is a predicted model, not a curated record. The transcript is spliced from 3 exons.
GAGGGGGAAAAGCACAGCGACUGUCAGAAGCAACCACAAGGUACAGGGAGGUUAACGGGAACCGCAGAGAAAUAGGAAGCUCAAAGUUUUGAGGGAAAAGACAACGAACGACACAUAACACACAUGCGUUUAUGCACAAAAUUUGCUGCUUUUUAACUAUUUUGACUUGUCGAUGGUGUUUAUUCUGCUCGGAAGCGAGACAGGGUGACGAGGUGCUAUUGCAGUGAUACAGAAGGUGCAAUGUUCGUGUGCCGGACUCAAGGCUAGGGAAGCGCAGAAGAUAGAGACCACGAUGUUGGAUCGCCACCAUCAACACAGUGAAGGCAAGGCAACCCCAUGGACAAACAUACACAGACCCAAAGCCCGAGCGGAGAGACAUGUGGAGGACGAGAGUGGAGGGAAGCAUGCGCUCAGGCUUUCGAAGAACCAGCGGACGAUUGGUGACGCAGCAGUUGUGAUGAGAGUGGAUUACGCAGCGUGGGAGUUCCAGUAACACCGUGUUCGUGCAUGUGUGCAUCUGCGUGAAGGCUUGCAGUAACCACAAGACUAGGGAAGGUUGCGCUGUGGCACCAAAUUUCUGUUUAACUUUUUUCUUUACGCUUCAAGCAUCAUAAGAAACAAUGUGAAUGUCAUUUUGAGGUUUUGCCCAAUGGAAUCGUCAAAAGCAUGUUCUACUGACGGAGAGAGUUGUGGUGCAAAUGCAUUCAGAAUGACUGCCGUCUUCCUGAUGUUAUCUCAUCUGUUUGCUUUGAUACAGGCUGAAUCACCUGGUUCGUCAUGAGAGCCAAAGUGCCUAAGUGGUCAUAAAUCUCCUUCCUAGCACUCUCAUAACAGGCCAGGUGAUUCAGGCUGUAUCAAAGCAAAUCCCCUUUAGGCUGUCUGAAAAUUGUCAUAGUCCUACCUGUGACCCCCCCCAACCCACUUCUACGCACACGCUUACGUAAAGUUCUCGUGGUUAGACUGCAGAAACAUCAUUAGGGCUUCAUUGUCAAUGAAUUGCAAAGGUGUGUGAGCCUGCGUGAGUUUAAAUGAGGGUUGAGACAUCGUUGUAAUAACAGAAGGAUUAACAAUCCUAAUUAACUCCCUCCUCCCACUUUUGUCAAACAAUGGCACCCCAAAUUCAACUAAUCCACAUUGAGUUUCUAAGAACCUGCUCCAAUACACACACACACACAUACACACUUCGGGCCUAGUACUGCACAUAAAUUGAAAAUUUAAACUG